Molecule: ribosomal RNA, 455 nt
Filed under: uncultured bacterium
Lineage: Bacteria
Description: SSU rRNA
Rfam family: Bacterial small subunit ribosomal RNA
Source: RNAcentral
AGGAUGAACGCUGGCGGCGUGCCUAAUACAUGCAAGUCGAGCGGUAAGGCCCCUUCGGGGGUACACGAGCGGCGGACGGCUGAGUAACACGUAGGAACGUACCCCAAACUGAGGGAUAAGCACCAGAAAUGGUGUCUAAUACCGCAUGUGAUCUUCGGAUUAAAGCUUCGGCGGUUUGGGAACGGCCUGCGCAUGAUUAGCUUGUUGGUGAGGUAAAAGCUCACCAAGGCGACGAUCAUUAGCUGGUCUGAGAGGAUGAUCAGCCAGACUGGGACUGAGAACGGCCCAGACUCCUACGGGAGGCAGCAGUAGGGAAUUUUCCACAAUGGGCGAAAGCCUGAUGGAGCAACGCCGCGUGCAGGACGAAGGCUUUCGGGUCGUAAACUGCUUUUAUAUGUGACGAUUAUGACGGUAGCAUAUGAAUAAGGAUCGGCUAACUCCGUGCUAGCAGCCGC